UGACACAAACAAUUUGAAGUCUCUUCAACUUUCCAAGGAAAGACGCGUCACUCACUUUACAUCGAAUCAACUGCAGAACUUGGAGGUUGGUGAGGAAUUAAAGCGAUUUAAGUGAAAGAACUCCACCUAUUAUAGUAAUAACUUUUAAUGCUGGCAUCUUUUCGAAAAAAUAUUCUGGAACUUGCAAUCGGUCGCCAUAUUUAGCAUUCUCCAAUCGCAAAAUAUGAAGGUUAGGGCAUACCAAACCACUUGGAAGCUCUUUUUUUUCAUUUCCCAUCAAAAAGAUUCCUUUGUAUUUUUCCACUGCCUGUUCCGCCAAUCCAAUGCCAACUUUACUAGUAAAAUAUUUUUUCUCCAUUGAGCCUAUCCAUAAGGCUACAUCACGAACAAUGUCAUGCGUUUUCACAAAUCUGUCAUUACCAGCAUCUAAUAGCAGUGAAGAAGCUUUGAGCUCUUUAAUCGUUCCACUCAAUAGGCUCCUGACUUUUUCAAUUGACUCAGCUCGAUACCAUCUCAACCCCACUGCAUAUCCAACCAAAUCAUCCAAAUCUAUCUCAUAAUCCUCUGGAAACAAAGAACACAACAAGAAGCACGACCUGGAAUCCUCAUCAUUCAAAUAAUCGCAACUAAAUUUGAGACAACGGUAAACGUCUUGGUCCUCAUUGCCGAUACAUUCUAUUGUAUUGAGUUUUGCAUCUUGUAGUUUAUCUAGAGCGAGAUUCCACUCAUCAAAUCCUUUACCUUUUAGUGCACUUCCAACAGCUUUAAUUGCUAAAGGCAGCCCCUUACAUUCAUCAGCAACUCGUUCCGAAACACCAAUCAAGGUUGAAUUAGAAACAACAAUGCCAGCAUGCUCUCUUAGUAAAGCCAAUCCUUCUUCUUGCUUUAGAACACCUAGUUGAAUCUGCGGGUCACAACGCAUGCGAUCACAAACUGGCUGCAGGCGAGUGGUUAGAAGGAUUUUGUAACAAUUGUCUCCAUCACCAACAGGAAUACCUAUUGUCUUCAAGUCGAGUUCAUUCCAGACAUCGUCAAGUAUUAUGAGUAUCUUGCUGCUUUUACUCUCAGAAAACAUCAAGCGCAAUCGGUCUGCUCUCUCUUUUUCAUGUUUCUCAUUUAGUGCCCAGCCUAACGACUUUGCCAGCUCACCUUGAACCUUUAUUAUAUCUGGAUCCUGAGACACAGUGGCUAUCCCCACCUCAUCAAAAAUCUUUUCUUGUCGAAGUUGAUUGCCCACAAAGUUUGCCAAAGUUGUCUUUCCGACACCACUGAUACCAUACAAUCCCACUAUCGUCGUGCUAUCUCUUUUUAGUGCUUCAAUAAUCUGAUUCCAAGUCGAUUAUGUAGUCCCGAAAGACAUAAAAUGUCUUGGCAUAUGCAAUUCUCUAUCUGAUGGUAGAGGUUUAGGAAGGGCAACUGAGCUGAAUUUGCCGCAUUUCUUUUGUAGAUCAGACAACUCGCUAGUCUUCUUUGAUGCUUUUCUACCUAGCCAACAUCGCCAACCCCAAUUAGGACACCAUCCAUUAAGACAGCUCUUCUUUUCAUCUAUCUUUGCUUUCAAAUUUCGAACAUCGGCCAUUUCUUUGUCUACAUCCUUCAGCCACUUCUCUACAUCUUUCUCGAUUACAAUGGCUCGGUGUAUUUGUCGUUCUUGUUCUAUUUUUUCAUUGAUGCCGCCUUUUGCCUCCUUCAAAUUAGUUUCUUUAUCCUUAAGUUCGUUAAUAAUGCUGUUGAAACAGAGCAGAUAACGAGCUUGGUUUAUGGUUGCUUCCACCAACAAUUCUCCAAGCUUUGAUGCAACACUUGAGCUAAUUUCCAUGCUAUUUAUCUGCAAUUAAUAAAGUUGAUCUCAGUAUGCUGUAAGCAAAACAACGAGGCUUGAUCACAAGAUCGAACGAGAAAGUUUAAUUACCUUUUUCUAUUAUGUGAAUGCACGUUUAUUGACCCUAGCUUUGACCAAUAAGAACAAAAUGCAAACGCCGAGCUUUAAGUGGCCUUUAGCUGCGCAAAACAAAAGAGAAGAAACAAGGUAGCUUAUUAUUAUUAUUAUUGUUUUUAAGGACGGAUAAAGAUUAGCUAGCUUGCGGACAAAUUUACUAAAAUCAAGAUAAACCUAAGAGUUUUCCUAAUUUGUUCAAACAUAGAAUAAGCGUUUCUCAACAUUAUAUCCAUAAAUGCCCCAGCAAACGUAAUAUGUGGUGGAUUAUAUUUAAAUUAGUUUAUUUUAGAAAAUUUUAAAUAAAAAAUGUCAAACAACAAAGAAAUCUAAUAGAAUCUGGAUAAACACCGAAGAGUUCCUACAUGGGAGAAUAUGGUAAAAUUGAUGAACUUGGUUCAAAAAAUUGCAAUUCUUAUUGAGAUUAGAACCAAAGAUUUUAACUAAGGUCUCCUAAGCCAUAAAGCAUAACUCUUACUACUAAAUUACAAGUAUUUUGUUACAUUUGAAUGUGGUCUUAUUUUUUUAUUGUCUGUUUUAGAAGGGACUCAAGGUAUAUUUAAAAGAAAUAAUAAUGGUUCGGAUGGGGCUGAAGCCCACUCAUGAAAAAUUUAAAGGCUUCAACAUAAUUACCAAUUGUUUCUUCAUCCAAUUUUCUAAUAGAAUAUUGCCAGAAUUCUGAAAUAAUAUCUUAAUAUUUUUCUUCAAGUGUUUACGGCACCCUCGUAUUGGAUUGUCAAUUUAAUAACUUGUUAAAUUAUUUAAUACUUCAUCUCACGAUCUAAUGGAUAUAAAUGCUGGAGAAGGAUCAGUUCCCAGACUUUUUUUCUCUCACUAGUCUUUUGGUGAAAUAAGUGACUAAGAUUACAUUUUAUUUUUUUAUAUUGACAAUUAAAUUGGCUUGUUUCACAUUAUUAACAAUUAAGCUAGCUUUCUUUUUUUCCCCCAACUGGAUUUGGAAGGUUAUGAGGGAGUAGGUGAGAAAACACGAGAAGAACGAGAUCCUAAUUCAUAAAUAGUACCUUACUUGGGAUGCUAAAGAAUUUAAAGAUUGGGGUGAAUUCCAUUUUAGUCUCUAAAAUUUUGACCUGCUAGUAACCAUACUUUUAGUAUUUUUAAAAAGAAUGGGAUUAUUUACAUUGUAAAAUCUAUUUUGAACACUCUUUUACUUAACACAGUCAUUCAAUAAAUUUUAAAAAAUAAUUUUUACUAGGGUUGGCAAUAAACUCUAGAUCUGGCCCAGAUCCGAAAUUCGGAUCCGAAAAAAUCAGGGUUGGCAUGUUAAAAAAUGCAGAUCCAGAUCUUAAAAAUCAAGAUUCGUACGGAUCUGGAUCCACAUGCAAGUGCAUCCGAAAAAUCGGAUACCUGGAUCCGCAUUAUUUUAUAAUUAAAUUAUUUAUUUAAUUAAAUUUCAAUUGAAAAAUAUAUAAAUUAAAUUAUUUAUUUAAAUGUAUAAGCAUUAUUAACUCUAAAAUCUUCAUUAACUAUGAAAAAUAUGUUAAAAUAAUAAUAAUAAUAAUUAGAGAAUAUUGUAAUAAAUCGGUUUACCUUAGAUUUUUUUUAUGUUUGAUUUAUAUUAUGAAAUUAUUGUUUGUGAAUUUAUGGUGUUGAAUUGAUGUUAAAUUGUCGAUUGUUAAGUUAUAAUUGAAUUUUAUUUAAUAUUAUUAUAUAAAUUAUUAAAUUUCAAAUUAAAAUUAAAUUUAUUAUUAUGCAGAUCCGAAUAUUCGGAAUAUCCACCCACAAUCCGUGCGGAUAUUACCCGCAUCCAGAUCCGCAUAUUUUUUUUACGGAUCUGAAUACAGAUCGGGAUGCCAAAAGCUUAAUCUAGAGCCGAAUUCGGAUGCACCUACAUCCGGAUCCGGAUCUGGAUUUUGCCAUCCCUAUUUUGUUACUUUACACACUAUUUCAAAUGUCAAAACUGUCCUUCAUUAGGACCAUUCAUUAACUAAUUAUUUUCUAUAAAAUAUUCAUCAUUCUUGAGCCAUGUGGCGUUAAUUAAUGAUUCCUAAGCAUUAUCAAGGUUCAAGAUUUAUGUUGAAACUCUUUCAGUUGAGAUUUGAGCCUAGGCACUAGCUAUAUACAUACAUACUCUUUCAAAAGCAGUUCUGGGAAUAUUUUGUGACUAAUUUUAUAAAAGUGUUUUAGUUACAUUAACGCAGUGAAACAAUAAAGAGUACGUGGCUUGAUGAUUUCCAAAUCAUGUUGGGGAAAAAACAAAGGAUUUUCUUUUAUAAUGGAUUAGAUUAGACGAUGAAAGGAAAAUUAUUUACGAUUAUUACUUGUUUGUGUGUUUAGAGUAAUAAUAUUUUCUUAAAUUAUACUAAUGUCCCUAGUAGUAAAUUUGAUUAAGGUUAUUUUCGUAAUAUAAAUUUUUAUUAAAAUUAAAGUGUCUAAAAUAGAAUUUAGAGUGAAAAUAGCUCUUAGACGUCCAUAUCAUUACCUUUAUAACUAUUGAAGAUAUGAUUUUUCAAAUGUAAAAUAACAUUUCUAUAUGAUAUAAAUUGAAAUUCAAUCAAAUUUAUCAUGCAACAAAUGAAAAGUAAAGAAAAUUAAAUAGGUUUUAAUAGAAAUAAAAGAAGCUUCUAUGUUGAAUUUAAAAGUAUUAUAUUAGUAGUAAUCAUAUACGUAUCGAACUUUUUAAUAAAAUUUAUUUAGAAAUUGGCCAAUUGGGUUUUAUGAAGAAAAUAGAGGGGCACGAAUGGCGCCACUUUUAAUUAUUGUUGCUGUACAACUGAAAAUUGAAAUGUUGUAUUUAAAAAGUACUUGUUUGAUGUGUAAAAUGCACCAACUUGAAAUGGCACGAGAGCAUAAUGGAAUUUUGUUGGGAAAUUUACAAAAAUAACCAUAAAACUUUUACUAUUUUCACAAUUAACCCUCCAAACUUUUUUCUAUCAACAUUAACCAAACACACAAUUUUCUCCCCAAAUUACCCUUGUGUUUGCUAACCAACCUGUCGCACAUAGUUUGGUGCGAUAGACACCUGUCGCACCAAGCUAAGUGUGCCUAUCGCACCAAACUAUGUACGACAGGCACCUGUCGCACCAAGCUAUAAAUACCCAAAAAGUAAGGCUUUUUGACCAAAGCCCCGUUGUCACGGCAAGGUCAAUGGAACAAAAGCGGGGAUGAUGGUUGUCGAAGCCAGCAAAAAUAAAUACAUACUCUAAAUAAAUUGUAUAUAGUGAUUGAGCAGGAUCGUGUCCACAGAGAUCGGUAAUUAUUUAAAUCCUUUUUGAAAUAUAAAAUGCAAAAUGGGGGAUUUGUUGACAAUAAUAAAAAUCAAAUUAAAAUAACAAGAAUGCAAAUUAAAAUUGUAAUUCAAAUUGGAAAAAACUCUGGUUGAAGGAAUUAACUCAGCUUGAUUUGACUACUGAUCAUUGAUUCAAAUAUAAAUUAUUACUACUUAUGAAUAGACCGGUUAUAGCUACUGAGACCCUCUAAUAGCCAAUCUCUCCUUAACUAGUCGAUAACCAAGGUACGACCGUUGGUUAUUUCCCUAAUCAAUAGACAACCAUAGAUACGAUCAUAGGAUUUAAUCAAUUGACAGCUUGAAAAACUAGAGAGACCCAAAUCCUAAUCAACAAACGCAUACGAUGGUUCAUUUAAAUUAGAUUGUUUAUUCUCAUAACACAACUCACUGCUAUGUUAUUUGUCACAAACAUUAAAAUAUUCAUACGAUGAAUCCUUUAAUUGACAAUAGAUUAAGUUGAUAAUUAAAUAGUGGCCAAUUAUCUAAUUAACAAACAUAAUCAUGAUAAUAAUUCAGAGAAUAAACAAAUACCCAAAAAGUAAUAAAACAAUUAAAGCAUAAGAAAUAUCUCAAAGUGGUGAUGAAUCAAAGUUUCAUUAACCUUCAACUAGAAUAAUAGGUUUAGCUCUUCAUAGAGAGAAGAGAAAAGUUUGAAAUACUAACUAGGCAACCCAAGAGGGGGGUGAAUUGGGAUUUUAAAAAGGGAAAAUAUCCACCGUCCACCUAUUUUUUACACCUUUUUCAAAAAUACACAAUUCCUUCAUUUUUUGGCUGGAAUCCACCCAAAGUUAUAUUUUUUUUCACUUUUCCACUUCCGUUUGGAAUCCGUUAAGAAAACUAACGGAAAUUUUAAAAAAUGACCAUUUUACCCCCAAAACGAAAAUUAUAAUUUCACCUUAAAAAUUACAAAAAAUAAUUAGAUUAAAUCUAAUUAUUUUCCCCAUCGGUCAAUAAAUAAAUUAAUUCCAUAACCAUCAAAUGCAUGUUUUUUUUUUAAAUAUAUCUGUAAUUAGAAUGCUAAAUUAUAACAGUAGUAUUAAAAAUAGCCCAAUUUCACAAAUCAUCAAUUGAAUUUAAGAUAAGUAGAGUUUUAUUAUUAAUUGAGUUAUAAUCUCUAGUAGUUAAGAUUUUUUUGUACUUCAUUAAAGUACCAAUAAUGAUAUUCAUCAUUAAAUCUUAUUAUUUUUGGUAUUUUUUAAGGUGAAAUUGUAAUUUUCGUUUUGGGGGUAAAAUGAUCAUUUUAUUAAGUUUCCGUUAGUUUUCUUAACGGAUUCCAAACGGAAGUGGAAAAGUGAAAAAAAAUGUAACUUUAGGUGGAUUCCAGCUAAAAAAUGAAGGAAUUGUGUAUUUUUUAAAAAGGUGUAAAAAAUAGGUGGACGGUAGAUAUUUUCCCUUUUAAAAAUUAAGCUAAGCAAACCACACAACAAUCCAAUCUAAUGCCUUAAUAAAUUCGAAAACAAUAAAUUCAAUGAAAGCACAAUAAUAAAUGAGCAAGGGAAGAGAAAGCAAACUCAAGGAUUUUUACGUGGUUCGGCAAUCCCCGCCUAUGUCCACGCCUCCAAGCACAUCGGGCUUGAGGAUUUCACUAUCCGAGCCUUUCCAAGGCUUCAAACGUUUACAAUUGACUUCAAGGUGUCAAUGAACCUUUACAACAAGAGAUUAUCUCUCCAAUCUCUUCACCCCAAGUGUUUCUCACACUUGUACACCGACAAUUUGAUGAGAAAUGAAAAUUACAACAAUGAAACUCUCUUUAAGAGUGGAUAUACAAAUUGAUAGCUCAAUAAAGAUUUAAUCUAUGAUGAUUUUUGAAUUUGAAGCUCAAUAUAAGUUGUGUGCAUUUGUUUAUGCUUGCUUAGAUUACCAAAAAUGAAUUGGUUUUCAGUUUAUAUAGUUUGAGUUAAAAAACUAGCCGUUAUGCACAUUUUGGUCGUAACCGGCUUACCGUUUAUGGAAUCCGGUUAGCCGCUUUUAUGUUACCGUUAAGGCAAAAAUUUGAAUUUCAGAAUAGCUGGCAUGCCGCUUUUCAUAUCCGGUUAGCCGCUUUUGAAAUAUGGAUUGCCGCUUACGAAAUUCGGAUAGUCGUUUAUGCUCCAAAAGUUUACUGCCCAAAAUCCAGAUUGUCGUUUACCAUAUCCGGUUAGCCGCUUGCUACAGUAACUGCUACAAUGAAAUAUUUUCCAAAUUUAUAAUUUGACCCCAAAACGUUAUGAAAUCUUUCAAAUAGGUCCAAUUUUAGAAUUUCAAAAUAAUGCUUUGUCAAUCCCAAAACUUUAUGAAAUUAUGAUAUGGCCCAAAAUGAUAUGAAAAUUUUCAAAUAAAUCUUUUUCCAAAAUUUCAAGCAAUAUUUGUUGAUUUCAAAGUUUUCAAAAUUCUUCCAAUUAAACCAUAAACUUGAAAAACAACCAAUUUCAUAAAAUCAUUUUUCCAUUAAAUAUGAAACCUUUAUAAUGUGAAAAUAAUGAUUUAUUUAAAAAGAAAAUAAUUUGAGCAUAAAAGAAUAAUCAUUCUUAAUCUUGUUUGUUAUCAUCAAAAUCAACAUUUGGAAACAUAUAUGUUAACAAAGUUUAGAUCUAGGGUUUCUUUCUUUUCAAAAAUCUCCUUUUUUCACAAUAGAUUCCUCCCUUAAAUACUCUCUCUCUCUCUUCUCCUUGAGAGUUCUAUUUAAAAUAAAAUAUUAAUAUCUGAAAUAUUAAAUUCGUAAUUACAAAAAUACAAAACACGUUAAAUUAAAAACUGCAGGUCCGUAGUUGACAGCACGCGCCCAUGCCUUAUCAACAAAGUUCUUCUGACACUCAUAAUUUCUCCAAAAGAACAAUCAUCCUUAAACAUCAUCUUGUAGCUCAAUUUUAUCACCAAUCAAUAGAAUUGCACCUACAAAAGUAAAACACAAGUAAAUCAUUAUUAUUAAGUGCAAAACAUCGAUAUUAAGGGAAGUAAACAAUGCAAAACUAGUGCAUAAAUUGCACUCUAACAGGGGAUCCUUGCACUGGAGCUACCAUCGAUGAUUCCAUUGUCUUUGAUAACCCCGAUUACAAUCCCUUCAUCAAAUGUGACUGCUCUUCCCAAAAUGGCACCGUGUGCCACAUUACCCAGUUGUAAGUUUUUUUAUUUUAUUUUAUGGGGACACACUUGCAAGAAUUAUUUGAUCAUAUCUGUAUAUCUUUCUUUUCAUGCUUGCUUGUUAUUAUUUUUUCUUUCUUUUUGAAACUUUUGUUUACAGGAAAGUUUAUGCGCUAAAUGUGGUUGGUGUGGUACCAGAUGAACUAUGGAAUCUGACUUCCCUCUUUAAUCUGUAUGUUUUCAUUUUUUUUCCCUUAAGUGCAGACAUAUUUUAAAAUGCAAAAUCGAGAGUAAUAUUGAUUCGCAUGGCUGGCCUUGAAUAAUUUGACAAUUUUCCACCUUGUAACAGGAACCUAGGCCAGAAUAUUGGUGGGAGAAUAGGAAAUAGAAAUUUAGGGUUUUUGACCUAACCUUUAAUUUCAACUUUUGACCGGAUCUAAGUAAGUGUUGGCUGCCGAGAAUGACUCUGGGAAGCCGCCGACGACGAGUGAAUAAGUUGGGAGUGAAUUCGGCGAGGAGAAAGAGAUGAAGGAGAGGAAGAGGAGGAAAGAGAGGGAGAGUUAUGGGAGGGGUAUUUUCGGUACUAGGGAUGAUUAUUGGCUAAUGUUGAUAGGAAAAAAAAUUGAGGGGUUAGUUGUGAAAAUAACAAUUUUUUUUAGGUUAUUUGUGUAAAUUUCCCAAUUUUGUUGGGAUUGAAAGACAAGGGGCCAGAUGGUAGUCCGGUGGGAAAUAAAAUCAUUUUUUCUUAAAAGACAUAUAAACUUUAUUGAAAGUUAUUAGUUAACAUUAGCCACAGUUUUUUUUUUUUUUUUUGAGAUAAGAGAUAGGUAAAGGCUAAAUCUAUUUUUUAGCCCCUACCUCCCAGGCUAAGAUCUAACUUGGGUGGCAAAUUAAAUAAACUUGUUUGAAACUACUCAGCCACAUCUUUAGGGGUAUUAUUGUUAGUUGUCUUAACUACUAAAUUAAUAAAAUUUGUAAUCUUUUCAAUAAAGAUUUUCCUAUAAUAUUGUAUAAGCUUGUAUAGUAUUAAUAAUGGGACUGUUGUGGACCCAUGAAUUUAAGUGUUUUAUGGUGCAUUCGGUAUUGUUUUCAAAUUUCAUUUUCUAUCUUCUAAAUUCAAGAAACAUCAAAUACAUGUUUGGUAGAUUGUUUCUAAAUAUACUUUUGAAAAUUUAAAAUUUAUUUAUACUUUUAACAAAGAAAAUAAGAAAACAACAUUUUCUUGUUUUCUUUGUUUCCCAAUUCAAUUUAAGCUUCAAUAUGAAAAAUUUUCUUCCGCCAUCUCUCAAAAUAAUAAUGACAUCAACAACAACAAAGACAACAACAACAUUGUUGUUGUUGUUAUUAGACCACCUAAAAAUCAACUUCCAUUACAAUAAUCUUUUCUUCUUUUAUGCAUUAUAAUAUUUAUGCUUUUAUAUAUUAAUUAAAUCAAGUAUGCAGAGUUUAUCAUUUUUCUUUAAACAAAAAAAGAUCACCUAAUUUAUUCUUAAAGUUAAAAAAUAAACUAAUUAAACAAUAAAAAUCACCUAAUUACACUACUUAAUAUUAAGUUUAUGGAAAUUAUUCUAAUAAUAAUUAUUUAAGAUAUUCCUAUCGAGAAUGUUUUUCUUUUUUCUUACGUUCAAGAUUAUUUUCGAAAAUGAUAUCGAACACAUUUAAAAAUGUUUUAAAAUAAAUUCGAAAAUAGCAUUUUCAUUCUCAUUUUUUUUAAUGAAAACAACAAUUGAAAAACAAUACCCAAAUAUGAUAUAAUGAUAAAAAUUUAAUGAAAUAUAUAGUAGUGGGUAAUGUUCAGGUUAUAAGUGAAUGUAGAUAUAUAUAUAUAUAUAUAUAUAUAUAUAUAUAUAUAUUACUUUCAACUAAUAGAUAAAAGAAAAUUUCUAUGGUGUUGGGAUGAAAAUCCCAUUAUCAAUGAUGAGAUUAUUAUUGAUCAUUAGAUUUAAAUAUUAGAAUCUUCAACCUUAAUUUAAUUUUAAUAGUAAGUAAUUGUGUAACAAGUAAUUUGCAUGUUGUGAUAUUUCUUUAUACAUUAAUUUAUUUUUAUCCAAUCAAUUGAUAAACAUUUUUAGGUCACCAAAAAAUUGUAAAAAAAGUAAAAGUAAUUCUGAAAUUAAAAACGUUAUAUACUGCCUAUAGCUAUAUAAUUUUACUGUUUCUUCUUUCACAAUUAAUAUUCAUAUAAAAAUAGCUUCUAAAUAAAUGUAAUAUUAUUCCAACAAUACUUUAUAGGGACAAUGACACCUAUACCCUACAGUUUAGGGAAAUGUUCACAAAUAUCUCUAAGUUUUUAGGAAGGGACAUCAACACCCAUUUUAACCAUAAUGCCCUUUGAAUUUAAUAAUUAGAAAAUUGACUUUAAGAUUUUUUAAUUGACAAAUUUAAUAUAAAUAAUAUAAUCUAUCAAGUAGACUAAUAAUACUAAAUUAAUUAUUUUUAACAUUAAAAUAAUAUUAAAAUUUUAAAUUAUUAUAUUUAUUUUAAUAAUAUAUUUGUAUAUAUUAUAAACAUUUUCAAUAAAUCUUGGGUUGAAUAGAUUUUACAAUUAAAAAAAUAUACCCCUAUUAAUAAUAUGAAAAUUAUUUUUACAUAAUAUUUAAAAUAAUUUUAAUUUUAACUCAUUUAUUUUAAUAUUAUGUUUCUAUUUGUUAUUAAAAGUUAAUUUAUUAUCUUAAAUUUGUGUUAAUUAAAAAACUUUAAAGUAAAUUUUCUAAUUCCUAAAUUCAAAGGACAUUACGAUUAAAAAGGGGUUUCGGUGUUCCUUUUUGAAUACCUGGAGAUCUUUGCGACCAUUUCCCCAUACCUUAGAGGUGUAAGUGUCUUUUUCCUUACUUUAUAUAAAGAUAUUUCAUAGAUCUUAUAAUAAUUUAUAUUGUAUGAAUUUAAUUAAAUGACCAUUAAUACUUAAACAUUAAUAAUUAUAGAAGGUAUUGUAAUAAAUUAUUUGAUAUAUAUUAUUAAUGAUACUAUAUAUGUGUGUAUAUAACUACAUGAUGGCUUGGAUAUAUAUUUUUAGUAGUAAGUAUUUUAACUUAAAUUUUUAAAACAAAAUUUAUACUAUUGAUUUCAUGUAAUUCAAUGGUGGAUGAUUUAACAUCAUAAAAUAUUGUUUUGAUGUUUAAUAUCAAUCAUUAAAUUGUGAGAGAUUAAUUUCUCAAAUUUUGUGUUAAAAUUUUAAGUUAAAAUAUCCCAAACCAAUUGUUUUAUGAAAAUACAAAAAUAUAUAAAGAAUUUUUCUCAUUAAUUUUCAUAUGAAUAUUAUUAUAGGUAAUAUUUUAUAUAUUGUCACCAUUAAUUACCAUCAUUAAAAUAGUGACUCUUAGUAAUAUAGAAUUUUAUAAUAAGUUAAUUGCAACCAAAGUAUACCAACAAAUAAUAUUUCACGAUUCAUGAACUAAAGCUAAUUAAGAAUAUAUUUUAUGUUUAACUUUUAUGAAAUCAACAAAAUGAUAUUAGAAAAUAAAAUGAAAAUAGACUAGUGAAAGCUUUGAGUAAUUUUCUGCAAUGCAAGAAUAUUAAUUGUAAUAUAAACCAUAAUUUCAUCGUAUAGCUACGCUAAAUGGGAGUAACAAAUAAUAUAUACUUUACGAUCAACUAUUAAAUGGUCCUUAAUAGCAUAUAAAGUAGUGGGUAUUUUAAUAUAUACUAUUAAACUUUUUUAAAACAUAAGUAGUUAAGUAUAUGAUUUUUAGGAUAUAAACAAUCACGACCAAAAGUUUAUUGAUGUAAAUUAUAUGGCAUUCAGUUAAAUGUACAUACUUAAUUCUAAUUGGUAAACAAUUCUCUUUCUUUCUUUGCUCUCUUACAACUUGAGGCACAUAACCAAACGCGUGGCUAUUAGCAUUUGCCACCAUGUAUUUAACAACCCCAAAUGAAGAUAUUAAUUUUUUUAGUUCAAUUGCUGCUUCAAAAUGGGGUACUGAAUUUGGAUUUUGUUAUCCAAAUACCAAAAAUUUCUCACAUUGUGUUGGACAGUUUUUGGUUCUAAAGUUGAUGACUGGUUUUGCGAAUCAGGCUUCAAAUGAGAACUUCUAAACAAUAAGACAAAUGGGUUUUGAGUUUAUAAUCUUGUAAACUUUGUUCUAUUGUAUAAGUUAUGAAAUCGCUGAAACAUCACUACAGCUACAGAUCUUUAUGUGUCAAUGAACUGCAGAAGCUAAUGAUCUACUUGUAGUAGACUUCUAUUGCCCCUGCCGUUCUAGGAAGACAAACAAGUUCAGGAACUACUUUUGGACCAAACUCAUAAUAUUGCCACUGCUUUGUGCCAAUCUGAGACGGAAAGAAGAUUGAAGUUCCUAAAUAAGGCACAUCAUGAUUUGAUAGAAGUACCACUAUGAGGAACAAUUGAUUUCAGGAAAGCACUAAAAUAUGACAUAAUCUCCCCCUAAUGGUCUAAAGUAGUCAAGAAAUGAUAUCAACCAAGCAAAAACACAUAAACUAGUUGAGAUACAAAAUUAUUGUAAAAGUCAAUUUUGAUCACAAAUCCAUUAAAAUUGAAAGACAUCAGAAACUUAGAGAACAUUAUAAUUUAGGACUCAUCUAAGUUGCAGAUUCUGUAACUAACAGCUGAGUCCACAUUGGUCUUGCAUCAGCUGAGUUUGGGUUGCUUUUCCUCUCUCCUGCAACUCGUACGUGGAAGCGCCCCAUUUGCUGUGUUAUAUACCGAGUCGAUACCGUAACAAGCUACUAUAAUUUAAGUUUGAUUACUGUAGACAAUAGUCUGCCCUGCUCAAAAGCUAUGCAGCAAGACAUAACAUCUUUGCAAUGUUAUACUUUCUAAAAGUAAUAAGAAAUGAAACCAAGGGGUAAAUAGAACACCAAAAGAAAUUUAGUCGGCCAACCACAUUAUGUUCCCACACAGUCCACUAAUUAAGUUAAUAAUUAAAGGGAAUCAAAAUCUAAGAAAUCUCAUCUUCAAGCAAAAUACAAACACACCGGGAUUGAAAAUCACAAAAUCAUAAAAAGAAGCUGACUUGAAAAGCUCAAAUAUACGUUCAUCAGCCUCUCAACUUAUAUCUAAGAACAAAUGCUUGCAGCUUGUGAAGACAUAGAUAAUUGAAGCUGAUGAGGCACAUUUAACAGAUGAUAAUCAAAACUCGUGUGAUUAAAAUUGUAAUUCAAUAAUGGAGCACAUAAAACAAGAAGUAACUAGUUGUAUAUAUACCAAACAACUUUCUGAAGUUAAGGCGUAAAACAACAACGUAGAACAAAUUAAUUAAAUAUACCAGCACCAAUACUCUUAUUAUUAUCCAAAUAUAGAAGACAAAUGUAUCAAACAAGGAAAAUGAAAUAUUGUUAAUAACUCAAAAACCACUAGUGUCAAGAAAUAAACUAAUAAGUAAAACCCAUAAUCAGACACGACCACUUCAAAAUCUCUGAAAAUUGAGGUCUAAACAUUGAAAACAAUUAGACAUAUAUAACAGUCAAUCGAAACAAAGCCUUAAAAUAAUAAUGAACUAUAAUAAGACAGAAACUAAAUUAUAAACAACCGCAUACCCAGUAACAGUAAUCAAGUAACAAGUCAAAACCAUAAUCAAAUGUAGAAUUUGAAAUCCAUACGAACUCUAACGUAUUAGAAUGAAAGAAUAAGGACGAUCGAUAAACUAGACUAAAAAAAAAACAUGCCAAGUUAAAAAAUGAAGGUAAAUAAAUAAAAAUGGUAUAAAACUGCGAAAAAAAUUAAUGAAAUGAAGAGAAAAUCACAGGAAUCCUAUGAAAAGGAAGGUAAACAAAACCUUCGAGAGCCGAGAAGAUGCCUUUUUUGUUCACUUUUGUGCCCUUACAUACAAUUUUUUUUGGUAAUUUUGAAGAAAGUAUUGGUUAAAUAUUGUCAGAACGAAAUAUUAAUAGAUGCUGGCAAUUUCAAGAAGGACAAUCUUCGAUUCAAAUGUAUCCCUAUGAUAAAGAAAAAGCCUACUUGGCUAAAUUUUGAGCACCACAUUACAAGAUCUAGGUGUAUGUAACCAUGCAAAAUGAAACAUCUAUUAAUUGUAAGUCCCUUGACCUCUGGAACCAGCCAACCAGUCUCUUUUCUGCUAGACAACCUUCUAUCGAUCAGACUAAUAAUAUUUACUAAAUCAUGUUCUACAGUUAAUGGAGUUGGACCCAAGGCAAUUGUUAGAAGUCCGCCUAGACAUAGAGUGCGCUUAGACGUGGGAUGCUUAGAAAUGAGCCGCCAACACAACCAGCCAACUGUAGUGUGCUUAGCAAAGCACCCAAGCACGGCCCAAGAUCUAGAACUAUCUACAAAUUGUAAAUAAGCUAAAAUUUUAUAAGUUUCUCCACAUAGGUCCCUAGGAUAUUUAUGGAAGUUGCUAGGAAGUUUCCUCCCCUAGAACUCUAAUACCUAUAAAUAGGGGUAAGACCCCUCAUUUGCCCACCAACCACACCACACACACAAACACUCUAGCACACACACAGGCACUCUAGCUUUUGUAAAAAGCUCUCUUGUAUAUUUUCUCUUUGUGAGUAAUAAAAUCAUAUUCAGCCAUAUUGCUCUACUUCUCUCUAGCAUUUUCUGCAAGUGUUCUUGCUUCGCUAGUUUGAGGAGUGUUCUAGGGUUGCUUAACAACUUGUUCGCUAGAAGGACAUCUUGGUCACAAAACAUGGACAUGCAAGAAAAAAAUAAUAUUGAUACGUUCUAAAAAUAAUAUGCGUUCUUCUACAGUGAACCAAAAAAUUUAGGCUAAUGGUAGCAAGUGAAGAAUUGUGAUUUCACGUGCAUUUUUUUGACAUGAACGUAAAGGACUUUUUUUAUAGUUUAUAUUGUUUAAUAUAACAUUUGAAUUGCAAAAUAGGGGUACAAAAUAGAUACACGAAGUGAUAAAACUAAGCUGAUUAUAAUAAAUAUUGAAUUAUAAGAUUUAGGUUUAAUCAAAAAGACAUAAGUGGCGCACAAAGUCAUGAAUUGAUAUCAUCCAUAAUGCAAGUUCAAACAACUGCAUAAUAAGUUGCCCCAAGCUAAACUAUUAAUCUAGUAACUAUUCCAGUCGAUGUGGGGCUCCGAUACUAUAUAGAAGCCUAUGACCCAAAAUUAUACUUAAAGGUUAUCUCAAGAUUUGAGGGUUGCCUCAAGCUAAUAUUAUUUUUAGCCUGGUAACCUUUUUUGUUUGUUGAUAUGUGAUAUUUUCCCUAUAACUUUUAUUAAUCUUUAUGCUUAUGUUUUGUCAUUUAUCCCAAAAUAUAACAUUAACAAAAGUUCCAAAAUUUCCUUCAAGAGAUAUAUUUGAGACAAGUAAUUUGUGCAAUAACUUUGUAAAUUGAUGAGCAAAUUCAGAGAAAAGAAUAUAUGUGCCAAACAUAACGUUUAUUAUUGUGUUUAUUUGUAGAGCUAUUUAAAGCCCAAAAAAAAAAAAGCACCGGUCCGCUAUGAUUUCAAAUAAGUUCAAGCCCUAUGUCAUCAUUGGUACAAAAAUGUAUUAAAAAGGUUAAAAACUAUUUUUAAAGGUUAAAAACUAUUUUUAUUUAACUUAUAAACUUAGGAAAUUAUCAACUGUCCGCCCUUAAAUUGUGCUAUUAUAAAAAAUAUUACAAUAUUUUCAGGUUGUGUCAUUCAUCUACCAUAAAUUUACAAUCUGCAUCAUUUAUCCACCAAAUCAUUAACUUCGUCAAAAAGUGAUAGACGUCACAAGGGUAAUUUAGACAUUUAACACAAAAAAAUAAAAGAGAAAUUAUCUAAGCUUACCAUGUUAUCAAAAUUGCUACAAAAUUUUAAAUUUGUUCAAUUUUCCAAUCUAAGUUUAUGACCUCCAAGAUGUUAAUUGCAGUUUGUAAUUAAUGACUUCAUAAGGAUAAUUUAGACACUCAAUAUGCAAAAUAAAAAAUAAAAUAAUGGCUUAAAACAUUAAAACAAAAACUACUUUUUAUAAUUGAUAUUCAAUUAAAUACACAUAAACUCUAUUUUUUCUUAAUUAAAAAUAUUCUAAUUUAUUUUCUCAAUUUAUCUUCAUAAAUUUACAUUAAUAAACUAAAUCCACAAAUUACCCUAAACCCUAAUUCAUAAAUGCCCAAUCAAUAUAAUAGUUUAAUUCGAUUUCAUAAUUAAAAAAAAGCUAAAUUUAUUAUAUUAGUUAUGGUGCAAUGUCAAAAAUGUCCUUAAAUCCAAGGGUAAAAUAGCAUUUUAUUUAAAUUCUAUGAAUUAUUCUAACAAUGUUAACAUUUUGUUGGACGGUUAAUAUAAGUUACAAACUUAAAAUAGAAAAUCAAAUAAAUUCAAAAUUUCAAACUAUUUAGGGCAAAUUUAGGAUAUAUGGUUAAUAAUUUUCCUAUGUCUUUUUACAUUGGUUGAUAUAAGUUACAAACUUAAAAUAGAAAAUCAAAUAAAUUUAAAUUUUUAAAUCAUUUAGGGCAAACUUAGGGUAUAUGGUUAAUAAUUUUUCUAUUUUUUUUACGUUAAGUUGAGUUUCAAAGACAUAAUGGUCAAUUUAUUAUAAAUCUAUUAAUUUUUUAAUGGAAGCAAAUGAUAUAAUGGACGAAUGAUAUAAAUUGUAGAAUUAAGGUGCAUGAACGAUAUAACUUUAAAGUAUUGUAGUACUUUUAAUAAUAGAACAAUUUAAAGGUUGAUUGGCGAUAAUUUAAACUUUAAUGAAGCAACUAAAAAAAAAAUUUAACAAAGAAAAAUAAUUGAAUGCUUUGUGAAACCAAAAAUAUUUGAAAUGUUUUAAGAAAAAUAAAGGAAAUUAAAUAUCUUUUUAAAAAACAUAAUUGAGUAAAAUCAUUUUACAAAAUACUCUUUCAAAUGCACAUUCCACAAGCCAAGAAGAACGGGUGGCUAACAAAAAUCUCACUUUUUAUGAGUUUAUAAAAUCUCACUUUCACAAAAUCCAAAAAUAACCAAUACUAUCACACAAAAUAUAAAAAAGUAUUGCUGUCACGACAUUACACACUUUCUUCGCCGUCUAGAAAGGUAGAACAUUUUGAAGUUCCUCAAUACAAAAUGCGUACUAUUACUAAAUUGGCCCAAUUAAUGCCCCCCCAAAGGCCAUCAAUUUAGCCAACAAAUUUGCCAAAGUUUUAACAAUUGAAGAAAUAGUGAGCUCAAAAGGAACAGAUAAAUUUUGAAGUUGAACAAACCUUAAGGUACAUGCAACAAAGCCUUGAAACUUUAGUCUUCACAAUUUAAGCACGCAAUAAUAUUAAGUAUCCACCUAAAAAACAAGUAUAGAACAAAGCUUGUUAGCUUCUUGGGCAUUAACUAUGAAUGAUGAGUAAAAUUAAAAAAGCAAACAAAGAAAAUUAUAGGAAGAAGAAAAGCAAACAUUUAAAAAAAAAAUUAUGAGAAGGAAAAUUUUGGUAGAACUCCGUGGCUCAUCUGUGAAAUUAAUGUCAAUAUGUAUUUUUAUGUAAAUAGGGUCUCUGGAUUUUAGGAUGAAUCAAUCAGCUACCACAAACGAAAACAUGAACCAACUGUAUAUAGAGUCAAUUAAUUAAAGUUCUCAAGAGCUUACCUCUGCUCCAGAAUUCUCGGAAUCAUCUAUUUCCUUCUGAAUUUGCGCGAAGCUUGGGACAACUAAGAAAGCGUCCAUGUGGAGCUGGGAUCUGAUAACCCGCAGGCCAAAAGUUGGUGAGGUUUGGUAAAUCUAACAGUGUCAAGUUCCAAAAUCCAUUCAUAACAAUUUCAUUGUAAUCCGUGACAUCUGCUCCAUCUUUAUGCCAGAAUACUUCUUCUAAUUCAUAAUUACUUUCUACCCAUAGUUGAGUUAGAUUUUGAAGACUUGGAGCUACGCUAAUAUGAAAUAGAUGCUUUAGUUUGGGGCAAUUGUAGAAAGUGAUCCUUCUGAGUUUUGGGAAACAUACAGGUUGGAGAUGAUCCUCAUCCUCAUCCUCAUCAAUGAUUUGCUCUAAUUCCAAGCAUUUCCGAACAGAUAACUCCUCCAAUUGCAACAGAUUUCGAGCAAGUGUCGAUGAGAGGAGACGUUUCAACUUAGAGCACCGGAUCACGAGUAAACGGGUAAGAUUUUGCAGGCUAAAAAUAUGCGUGGGACCUUCAUGAUAUAAUACUUGCAGUUCUGGAAGAUUUUUCAAUUGCAACGACUUCAAACAUGGGAAUAGUUUGUUUUCUUGUCCCUCAGCGAUAAUAGCUUCCAAUUGAAACACCACAUGUACUCCAAGUUGGCUAAUUUUCAAAUCUUCCAAAUUUUUUAAGUCGUGCUUCAACAGUGCUGGAAUCGUGUCACUCAAAUGGGAACAAUUGUCCACAUUUAGAAUUUUUAAGUUCUGAGACAAAUAAAUAAAUAACUUGAUGUAAUUAAAAUCUAUUAGUAGCUAAGAUUAUCACAUGAUAAGUGAUGAACACCGCAAAAAACAAAAAUAGAAACAAAAUCCAUACAAAAAUAUAAUAAUACAUAUGUAAACUAAUAAAAUAAUUAAAAAGUAAUAUGGAUUGAUCAUGUGAAGUGAUAUAAAGGUGACAUUAGAUUGUUUGAGAAAAAUUAGUAUUCUAUUAAUUUCUAUGGAUUGAUCAACUAAUUAAUUGAAUUUGAGUAAUAUUAUAUUCACUUCAGUAAGUGUUUGUAUCAAUUCUUUCUAAACCAAAAUGAGAUAAGACUUCCAUUUGAACAAUGAUUUUAGGCCCUAAAAUAAAGAAAUUUCCCUAAGAUAUUUGAGCAUUAUUACUAUGAUCACCACAUCCAUGAUCAUCAUCAUCUCCAUAGGACCAAAUAAUUAAUGGCUGAUCAUAAAAUUUAUUGCUAAAUUAUCAUUUUGAGUAAAAUUGAAGGAAAAGAAAAAAUAUAAACACAAACAAACAUACCUCUUCAAGAUACUGCAAAUUGGCUUCAAGUUCAGUACUGCUGAUGGUCAAGUUGGGACAGUGCCUAAGGUGUGACUCUUCCAAUGCUGUCCAAAUUGAACAAUAAUUUUCUGAACAGAAGCUCUUGAGUUUUGGGAGAUUGUGAAGUGUUAAUUUUGUCAACAAAGGGAGGGCAAGCAUCGAAUUUCCAUCUCCAACACUUAUUUCCCCUUCAUUGUGAUCAAACUUUGCUUCGACAAUACAUUCCAUUCUCCAGCAUCCACUUACAUAGAGACUUUUAAGCUGCUUCAAACUUCUAGCUUGUGACAACGUGAAGAUAUAUGUCAAAUUGUUGCACCCACACACAGUCAAUUCUGUAAGAGCUUGGAGGCUGAUCACAUAUUGGGCGGGCGCCUUCCAUAUCCACUUCAGUUCUGGUAAUUGCCACAUAGAUAACUCUGCUAAUCUUGAGAGCAUCACAGGAUUCCCACUCUUUCCAUGCGGCGACUUAGAGGCAUCCAUUAUGCAUUCUAAUUCUUUGCACUCGUUGACAGAAAGACAAGUCAACUCAUUUAAGCCCCUUGGAUCUAUGCUUGGCACAAUAUUGUGACAACCUAUAAUCGUUCUUAAAUUAAGAAUUUCCAGUUCUUGAUACAAUGCCGAAAAAAUACCGAGCGAGGUUGCUUCACAAUUAUUAAUCUUUAAGCCCCUUCUCUGUCCAAAAAUUUCAUCUUCUUCUUGCAUUAGAAAUUCAAGUUUGUUACCGUUACUGACGUGGUGCCUUUGCAAUUUCGGGAAUGUAAAGUCUUUUGGAAGACGUGCAAUUUUUUUGUCAGUAUGUAAAGUCUUUCCAUCGUCAUUUUCUUCUGAACUCAUCCCUUCAGCCUCCCAAUCUUUUAUCCGACCAUAAAAUUCUUCUAAUUGAGGAAAUUUUUUUAUCGUAAUGGGAGAAAUACAACCAGAAUUAAUGAAUAUAAGAAGUUUCAAUCUACUAAGUUGAUCCCCAAGUUCUUCAGGAAUUUCAAUGGGAGACUCCUUGACACAAAGAAUUUGAAGUCUCUUCAACUUUCCAAGGAAAGAUGCGUCACUUACUUUACAUUGAAUCAACUGCAGAACUUGGAGGUUGGUCAGGAAUUGAAGCGAUUUAAGUGAAAUGACUCCACCUAUUACAGUAACAACUUUCAAUGCUGGCAUCCCUUCGAAAAAAUGCUCUGGAACAUGAAAUUGAUAGUCAUAACCACUAGGAAGCUCUUCUUUUACAUAUCCCAGGAAAGAGAUUCCUUCAUAUUGUUCCAUUGCCCGUUCCGCCAAUCCAUCUGUAGUAACAACU
RNAcentral lists this long non-coding RNA (20302 nucleotides) under Citrus x clementina. RNAcentral's name for it is "Citrus clementina (C. clementina) long non-coding RNA (CCLE_LNC000843)". Lineage: Eukaryota; Viridiplantae; Streptophyta; Magnoliopsida; Sapindales; Rutaceae. The record is from RNAcentral.